GGAGAGGUGUCCGAGCGGUCGAAGGAGCACGCCUGGAAAGUGUGUGUACGUUCAAAAGGCGUACCGUGGGUUCGAAUCCCACCCUCUCCGCCA
Molecule: transfer RNA, 93 nt
Filed under: Gammaproteobacteria bacterium
Lineage: Bacteria; Pseudomonadati; Pseudomonadota; Gammaproteobacteria
Also listed under: 2 other names
Description: tRNA-Ser
Rfam family: tRNA
About the family: Transfer RNA (tRNA) molecules are approximately 80 nucleotides in length. Their secondary structure includes four short double-helical elements and three loops (D, anti-codon, and T loops).
Source: RNAcentral